This 301-nucleotide ribosomal RNA is filed under the name uncultured bacterium. RNAcentral describes it as "partial 16S ribosomal RNA". It matches the Rfam family "Bacterial small subunit ribosomal RNA", at positions 509 to 807 of the family's 1533-position model. The record is from RNAcentral.
CAGCCGCCGCGGUAAUACGGAGGGUGCAAGCGUUAAUCGGAAUUACUGGGCGUAAAGCGCACGCAGGCGGUUUGUUAAGUCAGAUGUGAAAUCCCCGAGCUUAACUUGGGAACUGCAUUUGAAACUGGCAAGCUAGAGUCUUGUAGAGGGGGGUAGAAUUCCAGGUGUAGCGGUGAAAUGCGUAGAGAUCUGGAGGAAUACCGGUGGCGAAGGCGGCCCCCUGGACAAAGACUGACGCUCAGGUGCGAAAGCGUGGGGAGCAAACUGGAUUAGAUACCCCUGUAGUCCCUGUCUCUUAUAC